UGAGAUAAGCGAUAUUGGUGAGGUUCAAUCCGAUGAUGGGCUUUACGUGCGACAGUAAACCAAUCUCAGAUUGAGCCGCGCCAAUAUCACUUCCUCUGCA
Molecule: microRNA precursor, 100 nt
Organism: Ananas comosus (pineapple)
Lineage: Eukaryota; Viridiplantae; Streptophyta; Magnoliopsida; Poales; Bromeliaceae
Source: Rfam